This 433-nucleotide ribosomal RNA is filed under the name uncultured bacterium. RNAcentral's name for it is "partial 16S ribosomal RNA". It matches the Rfam family "Bacterial small subunit ribosomal RNA", at positions 29 to 507 of the family's 1533-position model. The record is from RNAcentral.
AACGAACGCUGGCGGCAUGCCUAACACAUGCAAGUCGAACGAGACCUUCGGGUCUAGUGGCGCACGGGUGCGUAACGCGUGGGAACCUGCCCUUAGGUUCGGAAUAACUCCCCGAAAGGGGUGCUAAUACCGGAUAAUGUCUUCGGACCAAAGAUUUAUCGCCUUUGGAUGGGCCCGCGUUGGAUUAGCUAGUUGGUAGGGUAAAAGCCUACCAAGGCGACGAUCCAUAGCUGGUCUGAGAGGAUGAUCAGCCACACUGGGACUGAGACACGGCCCAGACUCCUACGGGAGGCAGCGGGGGGGAAUAUUGAAAAAUGGGCGAAGGCCUGAUCCCCCAUUGCCGCGUGAGUGUUGAGGCCCUGGGGGUUGAAAACCUCCUUUCCCCGGGAUGAUAAUGACAGUCCGGGGAGAAUAAGCCCCGCCUAACCCCGUC